UAUUUUUUUUUAUUAUUAAAGUUCUUUUCCCUUAGCUACAGUAUCUGACACAGAUAUUGUUCCUGGGUUAUUUUAACGCUACCAUGGUCACCGCUUGCGGCCUCUUUGAAAUAUCUUUCGUCAUUCCCGAACAAUCUCUAUUAUCCACAGAAUCCCACCGCCUCAUACCACCUCCUUUCUCUGGUAUAGUCUACGCUCAAGAAAUCUUGGGCGUCUCCUGCCCUCCAGCUACUCCAGCCUCUCUGAUUUUUACAAUCGUCGGCGCCUACAAGCCCUAAAAGAACACCACCGAUCGAUUUUGCUCCUGCCCUCCACCGUGGGGGAGAUUGAUGCAGUCGUAGAUAGCGACUCCAAAACCCAAAUCGUAUUCCCCGUUAUUCCCAGUCCUCACCGCCAGAUUAAGCGAGGGAAGCUACCGCUACAUGCUUUUCGAAGCAUACCCAAAAUUUCAACUGGCUUAUGCACAUCACGCGCCAAUCGAGCCAAAAUUUGGUGGAUAUGGGUCAUUUUACCCUCACAAAAGCAUAUUCCGAUUCUCCAUUUUCAUAUCAACACAUCUGAAACAGUUCAAAAUUUCAACAAAUCGUGUAUAUGGGAUUCUAUAUGAUCAUUAUAUUUAUUGAUAAACAUCGAUUAACUGUCAGCAGGUUGGAUAUGAAUUUUCGAAGAAAAUAUGUUCAGCCACACCAUCUGGGGUUUUGAUGUUAGAAGGGAAUGUAAUGUCCGAGAAUAUAGUGAUGACACGGUGGAAUGAAAUCUGGAUUUCCAAAUUCUGCUUCCAAACAUACCCUAAGAUUCUUAACUGAUACUUUUAUUCCUUACUUACUCUUUUUGCAAUUAAUCAUGACUGUUGUAGGUGCCAUUCUUCAACAUAGGGAUCAAUACAAUGGAUACAUUUUCACACGUUGGAGGCAAUUAUGCAGAAGGAAAUCCAGCUUAAUGAACUCCAACAUCAGGCAUAUUUUUCUUUGAAAUUUCAGCCAAUUUCGAGCUUAUCUAAAAUAGUUUUUCGUUUAUUAACCAAAAAAUGUGUUGAAAGGAAAUAUUCAAAGACUAAAAUCUUUUAUAUUAAACUUAUGGAUGUAUGAUGAUCACCAAUAGUAAAUGCUCCAGCAAUAAAUCUCUAAAUCAAUGCAAGAUGUUAUGUUUUAAAAAAAUAUGAAAGAAUUUUUGAAUU
Lactuca sativa (garden lettuce) is the source of this 1177-nucleotide non-coding RNA. The record is from RefSeq and is a predicted model, not a curated record. Lineage: Eukaryota; Viridiplantae; Streptophyta; Magnoliopsida; Asterales; Asteraceae.